AAGAAGAUCCAGAUCAGCCCCUUGCUAUCCAAUUCGGUACGUUGCCCCCUGUCGUGGCCAAUAAUUACCUACUGGCCAAUGAAUUCAAAAAUAAAGAAAAGGAAGAAGAGAGGGAGGACAACGAAGGAGAAGCUUGCAUGCUGGUAUGUGAAGAAGGCCAGACUUCUGGAGAGGCCUACAACGAUGAAGAGGACGAUGGGAUGACAGACAUUGAAGAAGAAAUCAACCUAGAAGCAGAAAGGAAAAAGAGGGGAGUGUCGCGCAACACUCUGUUUAAGCAACUACACCAAGAGGGAGUUCGCGAAGUAGACUUGUUGGGGGAGCCAUCUGGG
This 332-nucleotide long non-coding RNA is filed under the name Olea europaea (common olive). RNAcentral describes it as "long non-coding RNA (OEUR_LNC015370)". The record is from RNAcentral. Lineage: Eukaryota; Viridiplantae; Streptophyta; Magnoliopsida; Lamiales; Oleaceae.